GCGGUAUGCUUAACACAUGCAAGUCGAACGGUAGCAGGCCUUCGGGCGCUGACGAGUGGCGGACGGGUGAGUAAUGCAUAGGAAUCUGCCUAUUAGUGGGGGAUAACGUGGGGAAACUCACGCUAAUACCGCAUACGACCUACGGGUGAAAGCUGGGGACCUUCGGGCCUGGCGCUAAUAGAUGAGCCUAUGUUGGAUUAGCUAGUUGGUAGGGUAAAGGCCUACCAAGGCGACGAUCCAUAGCUGGUCUGAGAGGAUGAUCAGCCACACUGGGACUGAGACACGGCCCAGACUCCUACGGGAGGCAGCAGUGGGGAAUAUUGGACAAUGGGCGAAAGCCUGAUCCAGCAAUACCGCGUGUGUGAAGAAGCCUGAGGGUUGUAAAGCACUUUCAAUGGGAAGGAAUACCUACCGGUUAAUACCCGGUAGACUGACAUUACCCAUACAAGAACACCGGCUAACUCCGUGCCA
Molecule: ribosomal RNA, 471 nt
Filed under: uncultured Methylomonas sp.
Lineage: Bacteria; Pseudomonadati; Pseudomonadota; Gammaproteobacteria; Methylococcales; Methylococcaceae
Description: bacterial SSU rRNA
Rfam family: Bacterial small subunit ribosomal RNA
Source: RNAcentral